RNAcentral lists this ribosomal RNA (253 nucleotides) under uncultured bacterium. RNAcentral's name for it is "partial 16S ribosomal RNA". It matches the Rfam family "Bacterial small subunit ribosomal RNA", at positions 524 to 776 of the family's 1533-position model. The record is from RNAcentral.
UACGUAGGACCCGAGCGUUGUCCGGAAUUACUGGGUGUAAAGGGUGCGCAGGCGGGCUUGUGCGUCGAGGGUUAAAGACUUCAGCUCAACUGGAGGAGUGCCCUCGAUACGGCAAGUCUUGAGUGUGAGAGAGGAAAGUGGAAUUCUUGGUGUAGCGGUGAAAUGCGUAGAUAUCAAGAGGAACACCGGUGGCGAAGGCGGCUUUCUGGCUCACAACUGACGCUCAGGCACGAAAGCGUGGGUAGCGAACAGG